GCGAUGCCCCGAGUGGUUCCACGGCGAGGGCACGCCAUCUUCGGCUUGAACGCUCCGGUGCCGUAGUCGUGCACUUCUCCCCUAGUAGAACGUCGCGACCCGUUGCGUGUCGGUCUACGGCCCGAGUGGGCGCCUGUCGAGUCGCCUCGCGCGCACUCGUCAGACCCUCGGUCGCCCGGCCGGCUGCACGACGGUACUCGCACGGUAUCGGGCCGCAACCAAUCCAUUCUCGCGUAUGCGUCAGGUCCGCCGCAAGCUCGGUUAGUUCUUACCCGGUGGUACGGACCUCGCGCCGUCCCCGGGCCUAACCAGCUGUUAGCAGGCGGUAUCCUCGGACUGGCCAAGCUUCGAAUUACCGGUCGGCGACGCUAUUGCUUUGGGUACUCUCAGGACCCGUCUUGAAACACGGACCAAGGAGUCUAACAUGUGCGCGAGUCAUUGGGAUGCACAAACCUAAAGGCGAAAUGAAAGUGAAGGUCGUCCUUAGCGUCGACCG
RNAcentral lists this ribosomal RNA (496 nucleotides) under Trichocerapis sp. JESJ-2019. RNAcentral describes it as "partial 28S large subunit ribosomal RNA". The record is from RNAcentral. Lineage: Eukaryota; Metazoa; Arthropoda; Insecta; Hymenoptera; Apidae.